This is a long non-coding RNA of Loxodonta africana (African savanna elephant), 5310 nucleotides long. RefSeq lists it as uncharacterized. The record is from RefSeq and is a predicted model, not a curated record. The transcript has 4 exons. Lineage: Eukaryota; Metazoa; Chordata; Mammalia; Proboscidea; Elephantidae.
UCCACUUGCAAGGGCUUAAAUAAAUAGGAACUUAUUUUUUCAGCUAACAAGAAGUUUGGAGGUAGGCAGAUACUGGUGUUGGUUCAUGAAUUCAACAGUGUCAGGGUCAGCAUCUGUGCAGUUCUUUUGGAUGUCCCCUCGUGGUUGCAAGGCCAUUGCUGCAGCUCCAUCCAUCACAUCUGUAUUUCAGGCAGGAAAAAAAAAAAAAAAGAAGAAGAAGUAGAAAACGGGAACAGCAAUGCCAACUGCUUCUUUUUAUCAGAAAGGCAAAAGCUUUCCCAGAAUACUUCACGACAACUUACCUGUAGGUCUCACUGUCCAAAACUGGGCACAUUGCCACCUGAACAAAUUUAGGGUUCUGUUGGCAUGCAAGAGGGAAGGAUAACCUAUAGGGUACCCUAAAACAUAGAAGUCAUGGUCACUGUUCUGAAAAAAAAAAAAAUUUAGGGUUCUGUUGGCAUGCAAGAGGGAAGGAUAACCUAUAGGGUACCCUAAAACAUAGAAGUCAUGGUCACUGUUCUGAAGGACCUGAUAAUGGCUUUAUAGAAACAAAAUAUAUGCAUGUACAUUUGAAUAAUAAUACCAGAGUUAAGAAAAGUUAUAAGACAAUAAUGUAAGUUACAGGGCAGACAUUUUAGAGGAGAUGGGAAUUGUAGGGGUUUUAUUUUUUUUAAUCUAUCCCACCUCAUUUUCAGGAGGGCUGUUGUGAAGAACCAUGCAUCUCAGCUGAACUCUGUGGAUAGCCUCUUGCUUGCCCAUGGUGCCAUGCUUGCAUCACCUGCCAGAGAAAACCAGUGUUCUGAGUGAGUGUCCAGAUGAAGUGCCCUUGGCAGGAUUGAUGAACAGGAAGUGGUAAACUUUGACCUGGUCCUGGGAGAAUGAGAAGAUACUACAAGGACCGAGGAAAGGGUCCUGAACACAACUCCAGAAGUUAAUUUUAUAUUGAGCUGCUCACAGCUCUGUGGGUCUCCUGCAGAUUAACUGGGCUAGGCAUUCUGUCCCAGGCCUCAGGCUGCAGGUUGGGUUCAAGUCUGCUCCGCAUGUCUUGUUCUGGAGCCUAGGCCAAAGGGUCAGCAGCUACCUAGAGCAUGUUCUUCUCAUGGUGGAUCAGCAGAGCACAAGGGAGCACCCCAGCCACGCAAGCACAUUUCAGGCCUCUGUUGACAUCAGGUGUCCAGCCAGAAGUUGCGAGGCAGGUGUCUUCCACUCUCCAUGAAGCCGUUAGUGGACUGUGAAUGAUUUUAUUACAAGAGGAUGACAAACAUGGACCAGUAAUUCAGUGUCUCAGCAGCUUCCUCUCUGUGGACUUUGUCACAUGAAUUUCGGAAGGAUGGAGUGUUUUCCUGGUUGACACCUUAGAAUCGCUCUUUGUGGCACAGUCAGAAAUAUUCCCAGGUCUCACUGGCUGCUGCGAAGUCUGAGCUGCUGAAGACAACCUCUGAGUGUCACUUGACACAGUGUGCGAGGUCGGGCGUGGCUGAGCUGCUUGUCUGGACACAAAGCCAGAGCAUUAUGUGCCCUGCAGAAGGCCCAUCGCCCUGGAGCCUGCCCAGGAAGGAGACUGACACGUGUGGGUCAUUCCACGGAGCCUUUUCCUCUUCACAGAGCAGAGCAGUCCUUACACUUCCAGAAGAAAAUGACAGGGAAUGUGCUCAGACAGAGGGACAACGUUACCACUGCCUUCUGGACAGCCCUUUCUUUGUGGACUCGUACCGGUCAUUCUUUUACCCAUCGUAUCUAAUCCUUUUUUUUUUUUUUUAUCUAAUCCACUUCUAUUUUGUGUUCUUUAAUAAAGGAAAGAAAGGCAACAGUUAUUUCAUGAAUUCCUUCUGUGUGCUACAAGCAGCGCUGUGCGUGCUGGAGAUGGUUUGUAUAGGCUCACGAGAGCCAGCUGUUUGCUUUCCAGGAAUUUUGCAAGAAACUGUUAAACAGGGCCUUAAUCAAAAAUUAAAAUAUGUUAACAUAAUUAAAAAUAAUAUAAACUAUAUUAAAAUGAAAGAUAAAUAUUCACAACUCAUCACUUUUUAAUUAUUUGACUACAUUUUACUGUUACUUACGCUGUAGCAGUUAUUUAUGUCUGUGGUAUCUGUAUGUUGGGAAUAUUGUAAAUACCUUGCUACUGCGCAACUCUGUCGUACUGGUGGCUUGGAAUUGGCCAUGAUGGCGGUAUUUAAGUGGUGCAAACAGUUUGUGAUCAUCUACUAACCUAAAGGUUUGGUGGUUUGAACCCACAGAGCAGAGCUGUAGAAGAAAAGCCUGGCAAUCUGCUUCCAUAAAGAUUACAGCCAAGAAAAUCGUACGGGGCAGUUGUACUCUGUAACACACAGAGUCAUCGUGAGCCAGAAUUGACUCGAUGGCAACAAAGUUCCUUUAGUCAGUAUUUAUGCCACAGAAAUCAAGAAACCCUACAAAUCAGGUCUUGAUUUAUUGCUUUGUUGAUUGCCUUAGAAAGUGAUGGAAAAAAGUGAAGAACAUGAUUAAACUUAAAAGUGUGUCAUGUCUGUAGCCAUUACGUUAUGAAUGCCACAAAAAAUUGUGGAUAUAUUUUUCCAGUAUUCAAAACUAUUGCUGGAUUCAGCAAAGAAGUUGCUCGUGUCAUUGACUAAGGAGUGAAGUCUCACAUACAUUUUUGUUGUUUCACUUUUGUCUUACUCAUUAACGUGAACAAAAAUGUCAGCAGCACAUCCGUGUCUUAUGUUGUUGUUGGUAGGUGUCAUGGAGUCGAUUUGUCUCAUACUCCUACUCAUCCCAACCCCAUGUGACAGGGUAGAACUGCCCCAUAGGAUUUUCUAGGCUGUAAUCUUUACGGGAGCAGAUUGCCAGGUCUUUCUCCCAUGGAGCUUCUGGGUGGGUUCUAACUGCCAGCCUUCAGUUAGCAGCUGAGCACUUAACCGUUGUGCCACCAAGGCUCCUAUCCAUGUUGUAGCUACACUUAUUUGUCACUUGCAGCCCUAAUUUGGCUAUGGAUACAAUGGCAAAAAUCAAUGAAAGCAUUUCAUGAAGAAUUAAUAACGAGUUUAUCAUGUAUUAGUAGUAAAUUAUGUUCUAUGUAUCUUUUCUAUCAAUAACAUUUAUAAUAGUUAUAAUCUAUAACACGUAUACAUGCACAAUUUUUGGAGAGCCAAUUGUAAUUUUUAGCUAUUCUUAGCUAUUAGUUACUCUGCCGUGAGCAUAUUUCCCUCCUUAUCUCACUCUCCAAGACCCAGUUCAGAGGCAAAUUUAUUCCUUCUUUGGGGUCCUCUAGAUUGGUCACAGCCCUUUCUGAAGUGCAUUAGGGUCUAUGCAGGUCCUGAGCAGAAAACAGAGAUUUCUUAGGACAAACACAGUUGAAGGAUGGGGACCUUGAAUUCUUCAGCUCUGAAACUCUAGAUCUGAGCUAAGUGUUUGGAACAUAAACCCAUUGUCAUUGAGUUGAUUCUGACUCAUAGCAACUCUAUAGCACAGAGUAGAACUGCCCCACAGGGUUUCCAAGGAGCAGCUGGUAGAAUCAAACUGCCCAUCUUUUGGUUAGCAACCAAACGCUUAACCACGGAGCCACCAGGGCUCCGUAAGAGGUACCCAAGAAGUGUUGGUUGAAAAACAUAGCCAGUGCCUUGUGGUCUGAGAUAGAGAUAAAGAGAAAAGGAGGAGAUCACAUAUAUAGAAAAGAAACAAUCGAGAAUACUAUAGACCACCUUUCUUUUUAAUUAAUAGACUAUUUUUGAGAGUUGAGAUUCUGCAAAGUACAGAGAUCCUGUACACCCCUUUACCCCACCACAGUUUCUUCAAUUAUUAACAUCUUGCAUUAGUAUGUUACACAUGUUAUCGUUGAUGAAUGAAUAUUGAUACAUUGUUAUUAAGUAAAGUCUUUAGCUCACAUUAGGGUUCACCCUUAGUGUUGUUCAGUCCUGUGCAUUUUGACAAAUGCUUAAUGUCAUGUAUCCACCAUUACAGUAUCAUACAGAAUAGUUUAACUGCCCUAAAAAUGCCCUGCAUUCCACGUAUUCAGCACCUCCGCCCCAUCCCAUCAACCACUGAUCUCUUCACCGUCUCUGUAGUUUUGCCUUUUCCAGAAUGUCAUAUAGUUGUAAUCAUACGGUAUGUGGAAUUUUCAGACUGGUUUCUUGCACUUAUUUCCUUUCCUUGUCUUUCUGUGUUAGGCAGGACUUGCCGUGUGAUGUCGAAUAGCAAUGGGGAGCAGGAACAUAUUUGCCUUGUUUCUGAUCUUAGGGGAACAUCAUCUAGCUUCUCACCAUUAAGUGUGACAUCAGCUGUAGGUUUUUGUAGGUGUUCUUUAUUAAGUGGAGGACGAGCCUUCUCUAUUCCUAGUUUGCUGGGAGUUUUUUUUUUUUUUAAAUCAUAAAUGGGUGAUGAUUUUACACCACUUUUAAAAUGUAAAUUUCCUUAGGAUUCCUGAAGGUGACAACCUGUAUAAAAUACAGCCAAGCUUUGGUUGACAAAAGCCCGAUGAAUGAAAACCCUUGAUGAGAUGGAAUUAUUUGGAGGUGAUCAUGUGUAGAGAAGAAUGAGACAAGUCACAAGGUAACCAGGACAACUCAGGCAGUCGUCCUACCACUUGUUUGCCAGCUUGUACUGUGGUGGCUUUCAUGUUGCUGUGAUGCUGGAAGCUAUGCUACCACCAAUAUUUCGAAUACCAGUGGAGUCGCCCAUGGGGGACAGAUUUCAGUGGAGCUUCCAGAUUAAGAUAGACUGUUAAGAAGGACAUGAUGACUUCUUUAAAAAACUGGCCAAUGAAAACCUUCUGCAUAGCAGUGGAACAUUGUCUGAUACAGUGCUAGAAGACAAGCCCCUCAUUUUGGAAGGCACUCAAAAGACGACUGGGGCGGAGCUGCCUCCGUAAAGCAGAGUAGACCUUGAUGACUAUGACGGAGUCAAGCUUUCCGGAUCUUCGUACGCUGAUGUGGCAAGACUCAAAAUGAGAAGAAACAACUGCAAACAUCCAUUAAUAAUCGGAAUGUGGAAAGUACAUAGUAUAAAUCUAGGAAAACUGGAAGUCUUCAACAAUGAAGUAGAACACGUAAAGACUGAUAUUCUAGGCAUUAGUGAGUAUGAAAUGGACUUGUGUUGGUCAUUUUAAAUCAGACAAUCAUGUGGUCUACCCUGCUAGAAAUGACAAACUGAAGAGGAGUGGUGUCACGUUCAUUGUCAAAAAGAACUGUUCAAGGCCUAUCCUGAAGUACAGUGCUGUCAGUGAUAGGAUAAUAUCCAUACUCUUACAAGGAAGACCAGUUCAUAUGACUAUGAUGCCAAUUUAUACACCAACCACUAAUGUCCUAUAGAGUCGCUAUGAGUCAGAGUUGACUCCGUGGC